This is a non-coding RNA of Theobroma umbraticum, 1635 nucleotides long. NCBI's taxonomy places the organism in Eukaryota, Viridiplantae, Streptophyta, Magnoliopsida, Malvales, Malvaceae. The record is from RefSeq and is a predicted model, not a curated record.
AUCAACAUUGGGUGUUACUAUAUUGUUGGAUUGCCGGCUGGGAUACUCCUUGGAUUCACAUUUGGUUUUGGGGUUAUGGGUAUUUGGUCAGGAAUGAUCGGAGGCAUUGUUUUGCAAACCUUAAUCCUGGUAGUUGUCACUUCACUAACCAACUGGAACAAGGAAGCUGAAGAAGCAGAAAGCCGUGUGAAGAAAUGGGGAGGAUCAAUUGCAGAGCAUUGAUUUGAAUCUGUCUAAGUGAAUUAGGGUCCAGUAAUGAUUUGUUUUUCAGGGGCCAAUUACAGCUUUUAGUCAUCAUUUUAUAAGCAUUUAGGAUUACUUCUAAAGGCAAUGUGUUAGGCUAUAUUUGUAAGUGUAAAUGGGGUUCUUGUGACAAAAAGAGGAAACGUAGUAAAUAAGUAAGGAAUGUACCGGAGAGAAAGAUUAGACUAAUUCUUAUAGUACUCAGUGUUGUGGCAAGUGAAAGAGAAUAAAAAGAGAAUAAGUGUUCUGAGUGAUAAUAGGCUAGAGAGAAGCUUUGAGUGAGAGUCAGAUAGCUCUGGAAGUGAAAGUCCCCCACUUGAAUUGUGAAGGUUCUAUCUAUAGUGUCAAAAGUAAUGAUAACAAGAAAAGCCUUUAAUACACAUAAUGAAUGAUAUUAUUAAGGAGAGUUUUAAUAUUAGGUAAUUGUUACUGAGAGUUAAUGUUGAGUAAUGACUAGAAACUCAUUAGGUGACUGUUAAAGUAAUUAUAUGUAAUAAAAUUUGUUCUCGAGUAAGAGCUAAUAAAGAAGAGAUAUAAGUGAACAGGCAUAAGAAAAGAAGCUGUACGUGAAUAGGUUCAAGAGAAAAAGCUACACAUAAACAGGUACAAUAGAACAAGGUAAACGUAAGAAACACUUAUACUUGAGAAAAAGAUUAAAAGAGAUACCUCUUAACUAUUUCCAUAUUUAAACAACCAAGCCAAACUCUCCAGAACAUUCUAAUAUAAAACUAACCCAUGAACCUUGUCAUUUAUUCUGAAUUACUUUCACUGUCAUCUAUAUGAAAUUGUUAUUUUGCACGAAGUAAUUGUUCUGCUUAUAUUAAUUGUUUCACAUGGAAUAAUACUCCACUUAUUUUAGUUGUUUCAUAUGGAGUAGUAACUCACUUCUUUUAAUUGUUUUACCUAAAUUAGUACUUCACUUAUAGUGAUUAAUUUUAUUAUUUUCUAUAUAACGUUAUAGAAUAAAAUAAUUCUUUCUUGAAUAAGUGUUAAUCAAAAUCGAUUAUCUAUAGUAAAUUUCCAUAAACCAGUAAGAGCAACACAGAUUUUAAAAUCUUGACAUGACAAGAUGUGAUUGAAUUCUAAUUUAAGUAAAUCAUAUUUCUCCAAUCAUCUAUAAUUUGAUUUGAACAAGCUGACAAGUUGAAUGAUUUUCCAUUUUUUUCCCCAUUUACUUGGAUAUGGCACUAAUAGGAAUGUCCACAGUUUUUCUCUGGUAAGAUGGAAGCAUUCAUUGAAUCCUUCCCCGUAAUCGAUCAUGAACCAUUAACCAUCCUUGAAUAACUUGAAGAAUGUAGCCGGGAAUUGACUUCCAUGAUGACCAAGGACCAAGACUUCUCCUAGAAAUCUUGGAAUCUCAAACGGAAUUGAAGCAUGCAAAAAAGUGAUAGA